AAACUUUCAACAACGGAUCUCUUGGUUCUCGCAUCGAUGAAGAACGCAGCGAAAUGCGAUAAGUAAUAUGAAUUGCAGAUUUUCGUGAAUCAUCGAAUCUUUGAACGCACAUUGCGCCCUUUGGUAUUCCAAAGGGCAUGCCUGUUUGAGCGUCAUUUC
Molecule: ribosomal RNA, 159 nt
Filed under: Yamadazyma friedrichii
Lineage: Eukaryota; Fungi; Ascomycota; Pichiomycetes; Serinales; Debaryomycetaceae
Also listed under: 1 other name
Description: [Candida] friedrichii 5.8S ribosomal RNA
Rfam family: 5.8S ribosomal RNA
About the family: 5.8S ribosomal RNA (5.8S rRNA) is a component of the large subunit of the eukaryotic ribosome. It is transcribed by RNA polymerase I as part of the 45S precursor that also contains 18S and 28S rRNA.
Source: RNAcentral